Molecule: long non-coding RNA, 384 nt
Organism: Mesocricetus auratus (golden hamster)
Lineage: Eukaryota; Metazoa; Chordata; Mammalia; Rodentia; Cricetidae
Exons: 2
Source: RefSeq, a predicted model, not a curated record
GACAGCGGGGAGGCCAGCAUGGGGCUGAUCCAGAACCCCUGAAUAACAUGGUUCAGGAACGGACUUGCGUGAGAUUUCUGAGUGCUUGGAAGAAAACUCCCAAGAAACGAAGACAAAGAGUCUUGUGACAUCAUUUUCUUCAAAAGAAUGGAUUUGUUCUUGCAUAAUACUUUCAUAAUCUUCCCAGAUAUAGCAGAUAGCAGUGAGUUUCCUUCUGACUAUUCGUUACAGCUAUCUACUGUUAUCUGUUAAUAUGCCUCAGUGGAAUAAUGCGUCUGCCACAUACAGCUUGCCCUUGUGAUUGCAUACUUUACUCAGGUGAUCUUUCUUAACUCUUAGAGUGUGAAUUGUCUGAUGCUCUGAAUAAAGUUGGCUAUUGCAUGA